CUGAGGAAGUAUCUGCAGUUGGCAUGUGCUCUUCCUGGGUGGAAUGAAUAGUAGAGGAGCCAGAGGCUGGUCUGUAUGCAAGAAAGCCUGUCAAUAGUUGGCAACUGGAGUAGCA
Molecule: long non-coding RNA, 115 nt
Organism: Gavialis gangeticus (Gharial)
Lineage: Eukaryota; Metazoa; Chordata; Crocodylia; Gavialidae
Exons: 3
Source: RefSeq, a predicted model, not a curated record